UCGAGGAUCUUCGGCAAUGGGCGCAAGCCUGACCGAGCGACGCCGCGUGGAUGAUGAAGGCCUUCGGGUUGUAAAAUCCUGUCGAGGGGGAUCAAGCGCAAGUUGAGUGAUCCCUGGAGGAAGCACGGGCUAAGUUCGUGCCAGCAGCCGCGGUAAGACGAACCGUGCAAACGUUAUUCGGAAUCACUGGGCAUAAAGGGCGCGUAGGCGGCUCCAAAAGUCAGGGGUGAAAUCCGGCAGCUUAACUGUCGCAGUGCCUUUGAUACUGUGGAGCUAGAGGGAGGUAGGGGUCUGUGGAACUUCCGGUGGAGCGGUGAAAUGCGUUGAUAUCGGAAGGAACGCCGGUGGCGAAAGCGACGGACUGGACAUCUUCUGACGCUGAGGCGCGAAAGCCAGGGGAGCAAACGGGAUUAGAUACCCGGUAGUCC
This 428-nucleotide ribosomal RNA is filed under the name uncultured bacterium. RNAcentral's name for it is "bacterial SSU rRNA". It matches the Rfam family "Bacterial small subunit ribosomal RNA", at positions 355 to 796 of the family's 1533-position model. The record is from RNAcentral.